CUAGUGUGGUUUCUGCUGCUGCAGAUAGUUAUAUUUACUCUUCUCCUCCACCACCUUACGAGUAUAAGUCGCCACCGCCACCAUCACCUUCACCACCACCUCCUUAUGUUUACAAAUCGCCACCUCCUCCAUCCCCAUCACCUCCACCACCUUAUGAGCACAAGGCUCCUGCUUAUGAGUACAAGUCACCACCACCACCAACUCCUUCACCACCACCUCCUUAUGUGUACAAGUCACCACCACCGCCAUCUCCUUCACCACCACCUCCUUAUGUGUACAAGUCACCACCACCACCCUCACCUUCCCCACCACCACCAUACUACUACAAGAGUCCUCCACCACCUUCUCCUUCACCUCCACCUCCUUACUACUACAAAUCUCCUCCACCACCCUCACCUUCCCCACCACCACCAUACUAUUACAAGUCUCCUCCACCACCAUCUCCCUCACCUCCACCACCAUAUUACUACAAGUCUCCCCCACCACCCUCACCCUCCCCUCCACCCCCAUAUAUACACAAGGAUCCACCAUACUAUUACAAGUCCCCACCACCACCUUCACCAUCUCCUCCACCACCAUACUACUACAAAUCUCCCCCACCCCCUUCACCGUCUCCUCCACCACCAUACUACUACAAAUCUCCUCCUCCUCCAUCUCCUAUUCCCAAAACACCUUACUACUACAAAUCUCCCCCACCCCCUUCACCAUCUCCUCCACCACCAUACUACUACAAAUCUCCCCCACCCCCUUCACCGUCUCCUCCACCACCAUACUACUAUAAAUCUCCCCCACCACCGUCACCCUCUCCACCACCACCUUACUAUUACAAGUCUCCUCCCCCACCUUCACCAUCUCCUCCACCACCAUACUACUACAAAUCUCCUCCUCCUCCAUCUCCUAUUCCCCAUACACCUUACUAUUACAAAUCUCCCCCACCACCUUCACCAUCUCCUCCACCACCAUACUACUACAAAUCUCCUCCUCCUCCAUCUCCUAUUCCCCGUACACCUUACUAUUACAAAUCUCCCCCACCACCUUCACCAUCUCCUCCACCACCAUACUACUACAAAUCCCCUCCUCAUCCAUCUCCCAUUCCCCAUACACCUUACUAUUACACAUCUCCCCCACCACCUUCACCGUCUCCUCCACCACCAUAUUACUACAAAUCUCCUCCCCCUCCGUCUCCUAUUCCCCACACACCUUACUACUACAAGUCCCCACCACCACCAAAGGUCCUUCCACCACCAUACUAUUACAAUUCUCCUCCUCCACCUGUUGUGUAUCCUCACCCAUAUCCCUACCACCACUCACUUAUUGUGAGGGUAGUCGGUAAAGUCUACAGCUUCAGAUGUUAUGAUUGGAAUUAUCCUGCAAAGUCUCAUAACAAGAAACAUCUCAAAGGUACAUUACAUUUCUUAGGACCGGACCUCUUUAGAGUAAUGUGUUUAGAGAUAAUGCACAAUUUUUUAUUUUUUUAUCUCGUAAAGGUUUAUUUAUUAUAAUCACAAUUUCACUUUUGUCAAAAAGAAAAACAAUUUUACUAUAUAUAGUUUUAAUCAUUAACAUUUUGAUGUAAAAAGAAUACAAUUCUCUAUUACCUUUUUACUAUGAUAUAUAUACAAAGAUUAUUCAAAUCUAUAUAUCCAACCUAAUUUCCAUCCAAAAAAAUAGAAAACAUAGGGUGCUUUGAACGCCUGCAGCAUCACAUGAAUAAAUAAAAACAAUCAAUAAUCAACCUUGUUCUAAUUUAUUUUAGACAGCGAUUGUUAAGCAUACUGCUCUUUUAAUUACAUUUUUUUUAAAGAUGCUCUUUUAAUUAUAUUGUCCUAAUAUAAUAUGUGUCUUUAUAUAUUACUUGUCGUAAACUAAUUUUAUUAUGGGUGCAGGAGCUGUUGUUGAGGUGACAUGCAAAGCCGGGAGCAAAAUUGUCAAGGCUUAUGGAAAAACUAAGAACAAUGGAAAGUAUGCCAUCACAGUUAAGGACUUUGACUAUGUCAAAUAUGGUUCGACAGUGUGCAAGGCUGCCCUAUAUGCUCCACCUAAGGGUUCACCCUUCAACAUACCUACAAAGCUAAAUCAAGGAACAAAGUUGUACUUGAAAUCCAAAGACAAGUACGAGGUUGUGCUCAAGGCUAAGCCAUUUGCUUAUGCUUCAAAGAAACAUUUCAAAGAAUGUGAGAAGCCUAAGCCUUCACCAACUCCUUACUACUACAAAUCACCUCCACCUCCCUCACCAGUUUACAAAUACAACUCACCACCUCCACCGGUCCAUUAUUAUUCACCUCCAUACACCUACAAGUCACCUCCUCCCCCUGUGAAAGCGGCACCAACUCCUUACUACUACAAAUCACCUCCACCACCCGCACCGGUUUACAAGUACAACUCACCCCCUCCACCGGUCCAUUAUUAUUCACCACCAUAUACCUAUAAGUCACCUCCUCCCCCUGUGAAAGCGGCACCAACUCCUUACUACUACAAAUCACCUCCACCUCCCGCACCGGUUUACAAGUACAACUCCCCACCUCCACCGGUCCAUUAUUAUUCACCUCCAUAUACCUACAAGUCACCUCCUCCCCCUGUGAAAGUGGCACCAACUCCUUACUACUACAAAUCACCUCCACCACCCGCACCGGUUUACAAGUACAACUCACCACCUCCACCGGUCCAUUAUUAUUCUCCACCAUACUACUACAAGUCACCACCCCCACCAUCUCCAUCACCUCCUCCACCAUACUAUUUCAAAUACUAUUACAAGUCCCCACCUCCACCAUCACCAUCCCCUCCUCCACCUUAUUAUUACAAAUCUCCUCCUCCACCAAAACAAAUUUCACACCCUCCAUACUACUAUAAGUCACCACCCCCACCAUCACCAUCACCUCCUCCACCAUACUAUUAUAAGUCUCCACCUCCACCAUCACCAUCUCCCCCACCACCUUAUUAUUAUAAGUCACCACCCCCACCAUCCCCGUCCCCUCCUCCACCAUACUACUACAAGUCUCCACCUCCACCUAAAGAAAUAUCACAUCCUCCAUAUAACUAUAAGUCACCACCCCCACCAUCACCAUCCCCUCCCCCUCCAUACUAUUACAAAUCUCCUCCACCACCAUCACCAUCACCACCACCUCCCUACUAUUACAAAUCACCUCCACCACCAUCACCAUCACCUCCCCCUCCAUACUAUUACAAAUCUCCUCCACCACCAUCACCAUCACCACCACCUCCUUACUAUUACAAAUCACCUCCACCACCAUCCCCAUCACCACCACCUCCAUACUACUACAAAAGUCCCCCUCCACCAUCUCCAUCUCCUCCAUCCCCAUAUUACUACAAAUCUCCACCACCACCAUCACCAUCCCCACCCCCUCCCUACUAUUACAAAUCACCUCCACCUCCCUCACCAUCACCGCCACCUCCUUACUAUUACAAAUCACCUCCACCUCCCUCACCAUCACCGCCACCUCCUUACUAUUACAAAUCUCCCCCACCUCCAUCUCCAUCUCCACCACCUCCUUACCACUAUCAAAGUCCUCCUCCACCAUCUCCCAUUUCUCAUCCUCCCUACUACUACAAAUCCCCUCCACCACCAUCGCCGUCUCCUCCACCUCCUUACCACUAUGUGAGUCCUCCCCCACCAGUAAAGUCACCUCCACCACCAACUUAUAUCUAUGCUUCACCACCACCACCUCACUACAACUAAGCUCAAAGAGCAGAAGCUCCGUUCAUUAUAAAUCAUGUAAGUUUAUCAUCUUCAAUUUUCUGAAUGUGUGCGUGUGUAUUUGUUUUUUUGUUACAAGAUACUAACAAAAUUCUUUUCUUAUUUAUGUUCAGGUUUUAGUUUUCAUCUAGGAAUAAAGGCAAGCUCCAUUUGGAGUAAAGUGAAACUUCUAGCUUCGUGUCCGAAUUCGUUAAAUAAAUGUCGGGAUGUAUCGUCUUUGAGCUAUAAUAUUUCUGAUCCAGACAAUAUCUAUUUUGUUUCUUUGGUGGCAAUCUUGCACUUCCUGGUCUUAGUCUAUUCAAGUGACAGACAAAUCAAAAGGGAGAAGCGAGAUUAAUUUAUUUGUGAUCUCUUUGAUUUAUUUGUGCAUAUAUCAAUAUGAACGUGUAUGAUAUUUUUCUAUUUAUUGAAGAUUUUUUUACUGUAACCUGUUAUUGUGUUUGUCAAAAGGUGUUAAUAAAGAAUCACAUUCAAUUUCUGUUAAAUUAUCAGUAUUUGUUUCUUUCUAACAACUACCAUUCAUGCAAAUGUGGCUAUUAAAAAAAGCUCCAAUGACACAUAAAAAGCUUCCAAACAAUAUAUAAACAAAGAUGCAUUGUUUUCUGUUAAGAAGGGGACAGGGUUACGGUUACUUGUGUACCAAGUUAGUUAUCCAUGCUUUCUUGUUCAUAGGAUUUAUAUGGUGUAGUUGCACUUAGUUGCUAAAUGUAUGCAAGCUUUUCCUUUCUAUAAAUAAGCACACCUACUAUCAUUCUUCUCCACAUUCCUUUCUACUCUUCUAUCAUGAAUUGUUCAUCCACAUAAGAUGGUCACAGAGCACACCUAAUACUCUGCUACUGGUGUAUCAGUUCCUUUCCACCAGAAACUUAUGAUCUCUAAUUGAAAGAGAUCCUAAAGUUUUAAGAUUUCUACAAAAUACAUUAUUCUCAUUUUUGUACAAGUAUGAUACAAUUAUUCCCAAGUAUUAUUUAUUCUAAGGAAUAGAAUUUAGUUGUGGUUUCUCUAUUUAACCAACAUUUAUUUUUAAAUAACUAAAUUUAAAAAAAAAAUCCUGAAAUUAUUAAGUACAUACCUAACACAUUGUAAAAUUUUGUUCCCAAAGAAAAUAUUUUUGGCAAUAGAAUUUUCAGGAACUUCAUUCCUAGGAAUAUAAUUCUAUACUAAGAGAAGAGCUUAAGCAUUGAUACAUAACAAGACCAAUCCAUAUCCUAAUCACAAUCCUACUUUCACUAAAUACUUUCACUUAAGUGUGGUCUUGGAAAGGACAAAUGAAGAAAGACAUUCCAGAGGUAUGGUAAGGGACAAUAUCUGCAGUUAUGCACAUAUUGCAAGAUUGUGAGGAACUACCGGACUGAUUUGAUUCACCAAAAAAUUUGGAAUAAAUAUUUCAGCCCAGAACUCAGACAAUGACUGGAUUGGAACCUUUCAGCUUCUAAUAUCGGUACUGUCCAAGGAAAUAGUCAUUCUCUUUUUGGAGUAGCUGUGAAGGAUUUAUGGAAAGAUAGAACUAAGCUGGUCUUUUCUAGAAACACCGCGAUUGGAACUACUCUAUUUUGGCUUGUAGCCAAUCCGGCUAAGUUUAUUAACAAUGUAGUUUGUACUCAAGCUCACAGUCACGAUGUUGUCAGCAACAGUGGGCAUAUUGUUUAGGUAGCCUGGAAUUUUCCUCCCCAACACUUCUUCAAAGUGAAUAUGAUGGAUCUCUACGGGAUUAUGUUAGUUUCCAGGAUCGAACUCAGAACCUCCUGAUUAUAACUCCUUCAAUGUAUGUCCCUUACCCACGUGGGGCCUCGGCUGUAAUUGUUAACAUGGUAAAAUUUGGCUCUUCCAAUAAUGGUUUUAUCCAAACUCGAGGUUGUUUAUCGUCUCCAACAAUCAGAUUGGAGAAUACUAGUGGUUCAUGCAUUUGAACAAACCAACUGUUGUGCAGAUUUUCUAGUUGAUUUUGUUUUUCCUUUUUUGAGUAUUUUAUUAGCCAAUGAUAUAAGAGGUUGUAGCCUACCUCUUUUGAUUUCUUAAGACAAUCACUUUUGCAUUAGAAAAAAACGACCCUACAUAAAAUUAAUGAUUGAAUUAAGAUAUAACUUCAGUUUGAAAUAUUGUAAAAUUCUAUACCACCAAAAACUGAGAAUUUUAGAACCAUACAGGUUGGUGGAGUGGUCAUCCAGAUAACUUUAACAUAAUUAACAGUCCAAAAAGUAAAUAGCUUUAUCCUUUAUUUUCAAUCUGAUGUGAUUUACUCUUAUCUGUUAAACAUUAUAAUUAAGAAUCCAAAGGGAACACUCACCUAAUCUCUCUCUUUUUUCUAGCUUUUUCACUAAACCACUGUGUCUGUGGUUACCACAUUUCCUUAUGGAAUCAAUAUCCAAUUUAUGUUAAAAACCAUUUCUACAUUUUGUGUUAAAAAUGAUCUAAACAAAGAUGAUUUAUUUCUCUUAAAUUCAACAUAGAUCAUAUUUACAUGGUUCAAACUUUCUAUUACACGGCAUUGACUUAGUUGCUUCACAUGGGGACACAACUAAUGCAUAUAUUAUUUUAUAUGCUUAUAGUAAUUUUAACAAGUGGCAAUGGGGCAUAUGUUUUGUCAAAAAAACACAAAAAACAGGAGGCAUGUGCAACUGAAGUCACUGCCAGCUUGGCACUAAGAUAUAGUAAAAUAAUUGACAUUUGAAGAAAACAAAGACGUUGCUACAUUUCUAUUCAAACAAGCGACAUCAAUAUCAGACAAUGGUGCUACAUUUAAUAAUACUACAGCUAUCCCCAUAAGCACCUCUUAGAAAGAAAAAAAAAUAUCCAUUAAAUUAAUGUUGGAAGAGUUAGCAACAUGUCCUCUCCCAAAAAAACUCAUGUUUGAUUCCUAGAGUCGUCCAUUUCGAAAGAAGCUCAACCCUGAUAAUAAAAACCUAGAUGUUAUGCUGCAGACUUAAAGAUCAAUUUCAUAAUGGAUCCAAAGGGCCUAAGCUGUGUGGGAUACUUAAGGGGGUAUAUUGAGGCUAAGGGUCAAAGAUCUUAAUUAUGGUCGGUUAAAAAAAGAAGAAAAAAAAAUUAUCUCUAAAUAUAAAGUCAACAAUAUUUCAAAUUGCAAGAUACAUUUAUUUAUUUUUUAAAUAUGUAUAUACCUCUUAUUAAUACUUACUAAUUUGUUUUGAGUGAUAAAAAGUUACGAGUUAGACAGAUCAGCACAUAAAAAAAGUAUUUGAAAAACAUCUACCAACAAAAUAAACACAUUAAAAACAAUACUACUUUUUUACAAUACUGUAUGUGAAAAUGACAAAAUCUUGAAAAAGAUGGAGGUAACAUGUACUCUUUUUUUUUUAGAGGGGAGCAUGUACUUUUCCACUAACAAUGUUGAUAAGAAACAUAUAAAAUACUAUUAGAGAAAGAAAAAAAAUAAUAAAUAAAGAAAUAUAUAAAAUACUGAGGAAUGACUCACUCAUGUCAAAUUUUAGCAAGGGAGAAGUGAUAUCACAUCAUUUUAGAAGAGGAAUGAGAAUAGAUAGAUCUAAUUUUUCUAGUAAGUUUGAAUAGUAGAAUCAUACUUCUUUGUCUUUUGUGAAAAUUUCAUAUUAUGGGAUCUAUUACUAGAAUACAGGUGAUUUUAUUCUGGAAGAUUGACUUUUUAUUAAAAUAAAAUAAAAGUACAUUUUUUAUUUCCAAAUGCUUAGUUGUUCAUUUAUAAAUAUUACAUUAUCCAACAGCACCAAACCCUAUUUCAUAACGGUACUCUGCACGUUUCAUUCAUUUACUGGUGCCUUAGUUUUUUGUUACAAACAGACAUUGAUCAGAGGAACAAAUGUAGAGACAAAUUGAAGAUAAUAUAUCACAUAAUAUUGUAGACACACCUUCACAUACAAAUGGGGUAAAGUCCCUCAUAGUAGUAUUAGAAAUAACACUUAGAGUAAAAUUUUGCUAAAUUUAACAUGAAAAUAAGUGUAAUGUAUUUUAUAGGCAGCUAUACAUAAUUAUUAAUUAGAACAAUUUUUUACACUGUCAAACAAAAAUUGAACAAUUUUUUACUAGCUUUAUGCUUUAUGAUGUUUUGAUUCCAUGUGCACAUUUCAAUUUUAGAACUAUUCCUUUCUAUGUUACUGAAAUAAUUCUAUCAUUAGGCAUUGACAUUUCCAUUAUGCGUGCACGUUAAAGUGUUUUCCCAAACAGAGAAAUAUUAAGAAAGGUUAAACUUUUGACUUAAAGACACAACUAAAAUAAGAUCCAAGGAAAACCCCAUUGAUUAUUUCUUGCACAAAAUUAAAAACCCCAUUGAUUAUUUCUUGCACAAAAUUAAAAUGCUAAUAAUUUUUCCUGGUCUAUAUUUUUCUCCUUCCGGGAAAUGGCAACAUCACAUGUUCAUCUCAUAAUUGAGAAAACACAUGUCUGGGAAAAUAUCUUAAAGAAAAGGCAGUAAAGUAAUAAAAAGUGCACCAAAUAGAGAUUAACUAGUACUCUUUGCAUGUCAACUAAGUGGUAUAAUUAUGUAUAUCACAUUCUUAAUAUUGAUUAUCUUGAUUGCACGAUAAGCCCCUCAAAUUGCUCAAUCGAUGAUUGCUUGAUAAGCCCAUCAAAUUGCCCAAUCGAUCGAAUCGUAACUUUCGAUAGACAUUUUUUUUAAGAAAACCCAAUUGGAUCAUAACUCCCCAUAGUCAUUUAUUUGAAAUUGUGAGCAAUUUGAUAACUUAUUGAGCAAUCACCAUUGAUUUUAGUCUCAAUUUAUCCUAAUGUUGUAACCCUGGAAUAAUGGAACAGUGAGUAAAUUUGGUUUCUCCGUCUCAAAAUAAGUGUCACAAUUUAACCAUGUGCACUACUCAUCAAAUCUACUUUGACAACAUUUUUUUUACUAAUAUAUAAAGACAAUGUUAGUACAUUACAUGUUCGAUUUGUCUUAGUUAAUGUUUUUAAAAUAUCGACUUUAUUAUAAUUUUUCUUAAUAGACAAUCAAAAAUAUCAAUUGUCAAAAUUGUGUAUUGAUAUGUAUGAAAAUCAAACUAUAACACUUACUUUGAGACGAAGAGAAUAACUAUUAAAAACUAAUGUUCAAAUAGAAAGAAAAGAAAACAAAGAUUCCAUACAAAGCUUGCAAAAUAGCUACAAUCAUAACCUAGAACAAAAAUCAUGACCACACACUAUAUCCAUUUUCCUUUUCCUAAAAAGCAAUUGAAGAUAAAAAAAAAAAAAAUAAUAAAUAAAAAAAAAAAAAAAAAAAAAAAAAANACCACCAUACUACUACAAAUCCCCACCUCCACCAUCGCCUUCUCCUCCACCACCAUACUACUACAAAUCCCCACCUCCACCAUCGCCUUCUCCUCCACCACCAUACUACUACAAAUCCCCACCUCCACCAUCGCCUUCUCCUCCACCACCAUACUACUACAAAUCCCCACCUCCACCAUCGCCUUCUCCUCCACCACCAUACUACUACAAAUCCCCACCUCCACCAUCGCCUUCUCCUCCACCACCAUACUACUACAAAUCCCCACCUCCACCAUCGCCUUCUCCUCCACCACCAUACUACUACAAAUCCCCACCUCCACCAUCGCCUUCUCCUCCACCACCAUACUACUACAAAUCCCCACCUCCACCAUCGCCUUCUCCUCCACCACCAUACUACUACAAAUCCCCACCUCCACCAUCGCCUUCUCCUCCACCACCAUACUACUACAAAUCCCCACCUCCACCAUCGCCUUCUCCUCCACCACCAUACUACUACAAAUCCCCACCUCCACCAUCGCCUUCUCCUCCACCACCAUACUACUACAAAUCCCCACCUCCACCAUCGCCUUCUCCUCCACCACCAUACUACUACAAAUCCCCACCUCCACCAUCGCCUUCUCCUCCACCACCAUACUACUACAAAUCCCCACCUCCACCAUCGCCUUCUCCUCCACCACCAUACUACUACAAAUCCCCACCUCCACCAUCGCCUUCUCCUCCACCACCAUACUACUACAAAUCCCCACCUCCACCAUCGCCUUCUCCUCCACCACCAUACUACUACAAAUCCCCACCUCCACCAUCGCCUUCUCCUCCACCACCAUACUACUACAAAUCCCCACCUCCACCAUCGCCUUCUCCUCCACCACCAUACUACUACAAAUCCCCACCUCCACCAUCGCCUUCUCCUCCACCACCAUACUACUACAAAUCCCCACCUCCACCAUCGCCUUCUCCUCCACCACCAUACUACUACAAAUCCCCACCUCCACCAUCGCCUUCUCCUCCACCACCAUACUACUACAAAUCCCCACCUCCACCAUCGCCUUCUCCUCCACCACCAUACUACUACAAAUCCCCACCUCCACCAUCGCCUUCUCCUCCACCACCAUACUACUACAAAUCCCCACCUCCACCAUCGCCUUCUCCUCCACCACCAUACUACUACAAAUCCCCACCUCCACCAUCGCCUUCUCCUCCACCACCAUACUACUACAAAUCCCCACCUCCACCAUCGCCUUCUCCUCCACCACCAUACUACUACAAAUCCCCACCUCCACCAUCGCCUUCUCCUCCACCACCAUACUACUACAAAUCCCCACCUCCACCAUCGCCUUCUCCUCCACCACCAUACUACUACAAAUCCCCACCUCCACCAUCGCCUUCUCCUCCCCCACCUUACUAUUACAAAUCCCCACCGCCACCUUCACCAUCUCCCCCACCACCCUACUACUAUAAAUCACCCCCACCACCUUCACCAUCUCCUCCACCACCAUACUACUACAAAUCACCCCCACCGCCAUAUGAACACAAGACUAAACCAUACUAUUACAAGUCUCCUCCACCACCAUAUGAACACAAGACUAAACCAUACUAUUACAAGUCCCCACCACCACCUUCACCAUCUCCUCCACCACCAUACUAUUACAAGUCCCCACCACCACCUUCACCGUCUCCACCCCCACCAUACUACUACAAAUCACCUCCUCCUCCAUCACCUAUUCCCCAUACACCUUACUACUACAAGUCCCCACCACCACCUAAGGUUCUUCCACCACCAUACUAUUACAACUCUCCUCCUCCACCUGUUGUGUAUCAUCACCCUCAUCCCUACCACCAUGCAUUGAUCGUGAAGGUAGUGG
This 10785-nucleotide long non-coding RNA is filed under the name Medicago truncatula (barrel medic). Its description in RNAcentral is "long non-coding RNA (MTRU_LNC000785)". The record is from RNAcentral. Lineage: Eukaryota; Viridiplantae; Streptophyta; Magnoliopsida; Fabales; Fabaceae.